AUUGAGCGCUGGCGGCAGGCUUAACACAUGCAAGUCGAGCGGGGUGAUGGUGCUUGCACUAUCACUUAGCGGCGGACGGGUGAGUAAUGCUUAGGAAUCUGCCUAUUAGUGGGGGACAACAUCUCGAAAGGGAUGCUAAUACCGCAUACGUCCUACGGGAGAAAGCAGGGGAUCACUUGUGACCUUGCGCUAAUAGAUGAGCCUAAGUCGGAUUAGCUAGUUGGUGGGGUAAAGGCCUACCAAGGCGACGAUCUGUAGCGGGUCUGAGAGGAUGAUCCGCCACACUGGGACUGAGACACGGCCCAGACUCCUACGGGAGGCAGCAGCGGGGAAUAUUGGACAAUGGGGGGAACCCUGAUCCAGCCAUGCCGCGUGUGUGAAGAGGGCCUUAUGGUUGUAAAGCACUUUAAGCGAGGAGGAGGCUCUUUUGGUUAAUACCCAAGAUGAGUGGACGUUACUCGCAGAAUAAGCACCGGCUAACUCUGUGCCAGCAGCCGCGGUAA
Molecule: ribosomal RNA, 503 nt
Filed under: uncultured bacterium
Lineage: Bacteria
Description: partial 16S ribosomal RNA
Rfam family: Bacterial small subunit ribosomal RNA
Source: RNAcentral